RNAcentral lists this long non-coding RNA (758 nucleotides) under Homo sapiens (human). RNAcentral's name for it is "HSALNT0295330". Lineage: Eukaryota; Metazoa; Chordata; Mammalia; Primates; Hominidae. The record is from RNAcentral.
AGUUACAAAGAGAAUCCAGCCUUCAACAGCUGUUGGGGGACGGGGGGAAGUUGUAUGAGUACAUGAGAGACACUUUAAGCAGGCUCACAGGAAUAGAUUUGUGAAUGCUCUCUGGAACCCCAGAAGAUAAAAGAAUAAGUAACUAUGACAGUCAUUUGUAACAAUCGUCUCUUUCCCAAUACACUACCAGCAAGCCGACCCACACCGCCUCCAGUCUUAGUGCCUUCCCGGUCACGCCCUCCCUUCUCCUGAAGGGGGCGGAAUCUCUAAUCCACCCAAGACCCGGUUCCUCGAUUCCCAUCCUUACGACCGAGGAAAAAAGAGUAAAUUUUCCUAUUAUAGCCUUCUCUCGCACCUUCCCCGCUUCCCACCAGCCGUCUCCACUGUCCUCACCGUCCCCAUCCUCAUCCAUGGCGAAAUCUUCGCCCCCAGCCUCGUGAAGAUCUAGCACGUCCGCCAUCUCGCCUUCGAUCGAGAUCUCGUCUGUGCCGCUCAGACACUAGGUACCUCGGGAAACUGUCGCAGAGGGGAAAGGUCGCCAGUCAAGCUGACCAAUCAAAGGCUAACUCUAAAUCCCUCCCUCUGCACGGUAAAAACACGCAAAUUGGGGCGGGCCUAGUGCGGAAAGAUACCGGAAGUGUUUCUGUGGCCAUCUUGAACAGAUCGCAAGCUAAAUCAUCCAUCUUAGGAGGUACAGACUACAGGGGGCCGUGGCUUCCUCUUAACCGCGGCAGCUGCUGAUAAAUACUGUACUAUUA